RNAcentral lists this long non-coding RNA (310 nucleotides) under Pongo abelii (Sumatran orangutan). RNAcentral describes it as "lincRNA". Lineage: Eukaryota; Metazoa; Chordata; Mammalia; Primates; Hominidae. The record is from RNAcentral.
AAAAUCUUAGAAAUAAAAUGAAAACGGGCUUGCCAGUCUAAAUGGGUGUGCGGGAAGGGGGGCAAAGAACAGGAAUUUUCUGUGUAUUUUCCUAUGUACCCGUGUUUCAGAGCUUGGGAGUCUGUGAAAUGUAAGACUGGUGUCAUCGUUUCAUAAAUCAUGAAUUUUCCACAUUCCUUAAUAGAGAGGAGCCCAAUUGGGUAUGGAUUUUUUUUUUUUUUAACAAACUGCUUAAAAAAGCCUUUUGAAGUUUCAAAAGACUUGGGAGAGAAGGGAAAAAUGAUUAAACAGCACUUACCAACUUCAAAAA